This 468-nucleotide ribosomal RNA is filed under the name uncultured bacterium. Its description in RNAcentral is "partial 16S ribosomal RNA". It matches the Rfam family "Bacterial small subunit ribosomal RNA", at positions 28 to 507 of the family's 1533-position model. The record is from RNAcentral.
GACGAACGCUGGCGGCGUGCUUAACACAUGCAAGUCGAACGGAAAGGCCCUGCUUUUGUGGGGUUCUCGAGUGGCGAACGGGUGAGUAACACGUGAGUAACCUGCCCUUGACUUUGGGAUAACUUCAGGAAACUGGGGCUAAUACCGGAUAGGAUCUCCUGCUGCAUGGUGGGGGUUGGAAAGUUUCGGCGGUUGGGGAUGGACUCGCGGCUUAUCAGCUUGUUGGUGGGGUAGUGGCUUACCAAGGCUUUGACGGGUAGCCGGCCUGAGAGGGUGACCGGCCACAUUGGGACUGAGAUACGGCCCAGACUGCUACGGGAGGCAGCAGUGGGGAAUAUUGCACAAUGGGCGGAAGCCUGAUGCAGCAACGCCGCGUGCGGGAUGACGGCCUUCGGGUUGUAAACCGCUUUCGCCUGUGACGAAGCGUGAGUGACGGUAAUGGGUAAAGAAGCACCGGCUAACUACGUG